GACGAACGCUGGCGGCGUGCUUAACACAUGCAAGUCGAACGGAAAGGCCCUGCUUUUGUGGGGUGCUCGAGUGGCGAACGGGUGAGUAACACGUGAGUAACCUGCCCUUGACUUUGGGAUAACUUCAGGAAACUGGGGCUAAUACCGGAUCGGAGCUCCUGCUGCAUGGUGGGGGUUGGAAAGUUUCGGCGGUUGGUGAUGGACUCGCGGCUUAUCAGCUUGUUGGUGGGGUAGUGGCUUACCAAGGCUUUGACGGGUAGCCGGCCUGAGAGGGUGACCGGCCACAUUGGGACUGAGAUACGGCCCAGACUCCUACGGGAGGCAGCAGUGGGGAAUAUUGCACAAUGGGCGGAAGCCUGAUGCAGCAACGCCGCUUACGGGAUGACGGCCUUCGGGUUGUAAACCGCUUUCGCCUGUGACGAAGCGUGAGUGACGGUAAUGGGUAAAGAAGCACCAGCUAACUACGUG
Molecule: ribosomal RNA, 468 nt
Filed under: uncultured bacterium
Lineage: Bacteria
Description: partial 16S ribosomal RNA
Rfam family: Bacterial small subunit ribosomal RNA
Source: RNAcentral